UGCGUAGGUGGUGGCGUAAGUCGGAUGUGAAAUCUCGGAGCUCAACUCCGAAACGGCAUUGGAAACUGCGCUGCUAGAGGGUUGGAGGGGGGACUGGAAUGCUUGGUGUAGCAGUGAAAUGCGUAGAUAUCAAGCGGAACACCAGUGGCGAAGGCGAGUCCCUGGACAACACCUGACACUGAGGCACGAAAGCUAGGGGAGCAAACA
Molecule: ribosomal RNA, 207 nt
Filed under: uncultured bacterium
Lineage: Bacteria
Description: partial 16S ribosomal RNA
Rfam family: Bacterial small subunit ribosomal RNA
Source: RNAcentral